AGAACGAACGCUGGCGGCAUGCCUAAUACAUGCAAGUCGAACGAACACUUCGGCGUUAGUGGCGCACGGGUGCGUAACGCGUGGGAAUCUGCCCUUGGGUUCGGAAUAACAGUUGGAAACGACUGCUAAUACCGGAUGAUAUCGAAAGAUCAAAGAUUUAUCGCCCAGGGAUGAGCCCGCGUAGGAUUAGCUAGUUGGUGAGGUAAAGGCUCACCAAGGCGACGAUCCUUAGCUGGUCUGAGAGGAUGAUCAGCCACACUGGGACUGAGACACGGCCCAGACUCCUACGGGAGGCAGCAGUAGGGAAUAUUGGACAAUGGGCGAAAGCCUGAUCCAGCAAUGCCGCGUGAGUGAUGAAGGCCUUAGGGUUGUAAAGCUCUUUACCCGAGAUGAUAAUGACAGUAUCGGAGAAUAAGCCCCGCUAACUCCGUGCCAGCAGCCGC
This 443-nucleotide ribosomal RNA is filed under the name uncultured soil bacterium. Its description in RNAcentral is "bacterial SSU rRNA". It matches the Rfam family "Bacterial small subunit ribosomal RNA", at positions 26 to 518 of the family's 1533-position model. The record is from RNAcentral.